Molecule: long non-coding RNA, 217 nt
Filed under: Ananas comosus (pineapple)
Lineage: Eukaryota; Viridiplantae; Streptophyta; Magnoliopsida; Poales; Bromeliaceae
Description: long non-coding RNA (ACOM_LNC019612)
Source: RNAcentral
UGAAGGAGAAGCGGCCGGAAGUUGGAUGAGGAUUGGGUGAAUGACCCUGGGUGGUGCGAGGACGAGUCAGACGUGGUGGGACAGGGGUGAGCAAGGCUUCUCUGUAAGUCUUCGUAAGGUGUGGUGGGGGCAGAGUUGCAGGAGGUGGGAGCGGGGUUGUAGAGUGGUAGCUGCUGUAAUGUCCGGUUGUCCGAAGAUUGUCUCCGGGCCUCGGAAU